Molecule: ribosomal RNA, 429 nt
Filed under: uncultured bacterium
Lineage: Bacteria
Description: bacterial SSU rRNA
Rfam family: Bacterial small subunit ribosomal RNA
Source: RNAcentral
UGGGGAAUUUUGGACAAUGGGCGCAAGCCUGAUCCAGCCAUUCCGCGUGAGUGAAGAAGGCCCUCGGGUUGUAAAGCUCUUUCGCAAGGGAAGAAAACUUAUCCUCUAACAUAGGAUGAGGUUGACGGUACCUUGAUAAGAAGCACCGGCUAACUACGUGCCAGCAGCCGCGGUAAUACGUAGGGUGCAAGCGUUAAUCGGAAUUACUGGGCGUAAAGCGUGCGCAGGCGGUUAUAUAAGACAGAUGUGAAAUCCCCGAGCUUAACUUGGGAACUGCAUUUGUGACUGUAUAGCUAGAGUACGGCAGAGGGGGAUGGAAUUCCGCGUGUAGCAGUGAAAUGCGUAGAUAUGCGGAGGAACACCGAUGGCGAAGGCAGCCCCCUGGGAUGAUACUGACGCUCAUGCACGAAAGCGUGGGGAGCAAACAGG